AGCGGCGGGGCUGGAUGGAGCGCGAGCGGCUGUGGCGGUGGCCGGGCCGCGGCCGCGUGAGGAGGGGCUCUGAGGCGGCGGCCUGCUCCGGCCGGGCGGCCGCAGUCCCCGGGGGCCUGCUGGAGAGGCGAGGACGCAGCGAGGCUGAGACAGAUGCUGAGAUUCUGAAAGGUAAAGCGACUUGCCUGCAGUCACAAGAUGAGCAUAUAGGAUGAGAAGAGAAAAAGACCGAGGCCUGAAUCUACUACCAGCAUUUCGGAUGCCAGCAAAGAGGAAGACAGCUAAGAAGAAAAUUGAGAAGAAACAGUAAGAGAAGAAUCAGCAGAGAGUAAUGUCAUGGAAGAAAUCCAGGGGAGGAAAGACUUUCAAGGAGGAAGAAGUGGUCAACAGCACCAAAUGCAGCAAAGAUUUCCAAUAAGUUCAAGGCAAAAAAAAAGUAUCCUUUGAGUUUGGCAACAUUGAAUGCCUAGAUCCCCAUGAUAUGGUCUGUGUCAGCAGAAAACAAGGGCAGAUGCCACAAUGCAGUGAAUUGAACAAAUGAAAAUGAAGAAGUAGAAUGAAAAAGUGCAGACCCCCUCUUUUGAAAAAUUUGGAGGGAGGAAUAGACUAUAGCUGAAGAGUGAUAGUAAGUUAAAGAUUCUAAUUUUGUCUUUUUAAAGGUGAUAGAGACUUAAACAUAGGUAUAAACUACAAAAAGAUACCUGUAGAGAAGAUGAAUUUAAAAGUAAAGAAAAAAGGUGAUGAGAGAUGGAGAGAGAUCCGGGAGGCAACAAGUGGAAGUAGGACCAAGGACUCAUGGAGAAGAAUCAGACCCCUUAACUUUAUAGGCUGAAGGGAUAGGGGUGAGGGCAAGGAUAUAGGUAGGGUAAUUAAUAAAGUGGAAUGGGCAAGAGCUUGUGGGAUUUCAUGCCUAGUAAUAGCAACAUCGUCAAUCUUUAGCUGAGGAAGAGAAGAAGUUUGGAGGGAGAACAACAAAAACAUGCAAGGGAUUAUCUUGUUAUGAAUAUAUAAUUGCCUUUGUUAUCUGCACAACAUGCACCCACCCCCUUCUUAUUGGUAACAGCACAUCAGUGUUCUUUGAAGUUCCAGCCCACCCCAUUCUAAAUCUAUGAGCUUCAGACAGGAAUCAUCCUAGUCCCAUACCCACAUCAGUGCUGGGUUCCUAACCCACAAUCAGGUCAAAGUGACAAAUUCAGAAAUGGGAACAUGUUGAAAUUCGAUCCAGGAAUUUUCCUGCAACUGUUGAGCAAGAGGUGCUCAUAGAAGGCAAACCUGGUGGACAUCUUGCCACCGGGAAGAAUGAGCCUGCCUGAGAACAAAGCUAACUCAAAGAAAGCAGAGCUCAGGGUUGGAGAGAGACUGAUCCCUGGUAACAUCAAUUUAACAUGUAUAUUUACCUCUGCCUGAAGUCAAAUAUGUCAGUAAACUUCCUUUGUGCUUAACACUAAUUUGAGUUGAGUUUUAUUACUUGCAACCAAGAGUUAUGAUGAAUCUGUGUUGGAGAUAUUGCCUGCUGGAACUCAUCCCCACACCCAUUCUUCCAUAAUCUCCCCUAUACCAACAGGACUAGAAGUCUGAAAACCACAUUUCUCAGAUGCCUUUGUCACUUAAUUCCAGUUAGGUUCCACCAGUGGGAACCCUCACAUGAGGAAGGUGAGAAGAAGGCAGACAUCCUCCUGCUCUUGUCAGUGCUUCUGGCAACAUCAGCAGCAGUGGUUCCUGCCUAGCAAAAGUGGAAGUAGUUCCAGUAGCAUCAGCAAUAUAAACUCCAGGUGCAUCAACAGCUAGUGCAGAUUUGUAGAUUCCAGCUCCUUGAUCUUUGGGCAGUAAUUUUUCUCUGUUUUGCUCCUCUAAACCAAGAUUGGUGGUAGUUUCCUGGUCUCUGGGUAACUGCUUUUGUUUUUAUGCUUCUCCAGGCUUCCCUUACAACUUUGUUGUUGUUGUUGUUGUUUUUAAGUAAACUCUGUGCCCAACACGAGGCUUAACCUCACAACCCUGACAUCAAGAGUUGCAUUCUCUACCGACUAAACCAGCCAGACACUCCCCUCCAUUACAACUUUGUAGCAAAUUCUUUGCAUUAAACUCUUCUCUGCUUGGAA
Molecule: long non-coding RNA, 2099 nt
Organism: Canis lupus familiaris (dog)
Lineage: Eukaryota; Metazoa; Chordata; Mammalia; Carnivora; Canidae
Exons: 3
Source: RefSeq, a predicted model, not a curated record